RNAcentral lists this non-coding RNA (24 nucleotides) under Arabidopsis thaliana (thale cress). Lineage: Eukaryota; Viridiplantae; Streptophyta; Magnoliopsida; Brassicales; Brassicaceae. The record is from RNAcentral.
GGCGAUACAUUGGUGGAGGUAUCU